RNAcentral lists this long non-coding RNA (1886 nucleotides) under Marmota monax (woodchuck). The record is from RNAcentral. Lineage: Eukaryota; Metazoa; Chordata; Mammalia; Rodentia; Sciuridae.
CAGCGAGGUGGGCCGUCCCUGGGACGCUUUAAAAAUACAAACUAGCGCACCAGUCUUCAGAGCGGCGAGCAAACUCCAGCGGUCAGUGUGUCUGAGGUUUUGACUACCCCGCAUACCCCUGGAAGCUAUGGCCAGCAAGAGUUUUAAGGACUUGAAGCAGCAGGCGGAAGGGACAGCCCAGGAAGCAGGUGAGGACAGCAUUCUACCUGGGCACCAGCGGGGCCACCCGCCUGGAUGCACCUGGCAGAAGCCACGGGUCUGCGCAGCCCACAUGUCUGCGGACUUCAUCUCCCAGAGACGUAGGGGCCUUGGACCCCCCACCUGCGCCUGCAAAGAAUGCCCUGAGGGACAGGAUGUUGGGGAUAGUGGUGCCCCAGGGGUCCUAGGCUGUGCUUUGGGCUUUGUCACCCGUCCUGGGGGGGAGCAGGCAGGCAUCCAAGUCUUACCCAGGUCCUAAGCGUCCCCACCCAUGCCCUCAGGAGUGGGUAAAGUUCCACAAAGAAAGGACGCUGGCUCACUUCCCAUCUGCCAGGUCUCUGAGCACAGGACGAAUGGGAUCAGGGAGGCUGCUCCAGACCUCACUGGGCUUGAUUUUGACCCUCUCUGGGGUAAAAAAAAAAUCCUUACUUUCCUUACUUUGAAGUCCUCUCCUUGUUCUAGAGGCUUCACAGCUGAAGAUGGAGAGUAAGGGAUAUGAAGAGACCCCUGGCUCACUGGGUUCCUCCUUGCAGCACCUAGUUCAGGUUUCCUGGGGAGGCAGAUACUCUGGUGGCAAGGAGAUAGCUCUACUUUGGAAGUUCCACCUCCUUUCUGCAUUUCCUUUCCUAAUGCCUUAAGCUGCCUGCCCACUGAAGCACUGACAUCCAUGUUUGUGUGCUCUUUGAGGGGAGCCACAGGGGGAGGAGGUAGGAAGGGGUCUUGAUGAAAGUAGACGCCCUAGAGUCAGGUGCACUAAAGGUGGGACAUCAGGCAUUUUCUAUGGGAGAAGUUGUUAAAGUGGACAGGGUCAUCCUGGACCAAGACCAACAGUAGCCAUAGCUCAGGUGCCAUCUCCAGCCAGGGGAUCCCCAGGAUUGAAGAGGGUGGGGUCGGACCCACUGGAUGAGAGGAGGUGUGUGUGCCCCUCUCCUGUCCACAGUCACUGGAUCCCUAACCUAGGCUCUGUGCUGCCUUCCUUCCUCGAAUAUUUUCUCAGCAACUCUGGAGAUGGGACGGGAGGUUGGCAAGAGGCGAGGGCCAAGAGUUAUAAAUAAACAAACAAGAAUGCCCAAGUGACAUGGUUGGGUGGCCUUGGGCAAGGGACUUCAUCUCAAUGGGCAUCAGUCCCUUGGGCCUAUAGGAUAGAAUAGAGAACACAGGGAAGUGGUGGUGGGGUGACUCCCUGUGGUCAGUGGUGACUCAACAGGGGAUAAAUUUCCUGUCUUUCUGUUCCAGUGACAGCAGUUGGUGAAGCGGGGCAGCAUGUACUGAAUCAGGCCACAGAGGCUGGACAGAAAGGUUUGGCAGGGCUGGCGGGGAGGAAUGAUGGGCAGCCCCAGCCACUUCUCAACCCUGCUUCAACCCUGGACCAUCCUCUCCUCUGCAGGAUUCUCUGCCUAACAAGGACCACAGGCAGACUUCCUGGGGAGGAAGACCCCUUCUCUUACCCACACACCCUUCUUUCCUUUCGCAGCCAUGGACAAUCUUGGCAAGUCUACCCAGGAAGCCAUAGACAAAGCUGCUAACCAGGCCUCUGACAGCGUCUCUGGUCUAGGGAAGAAAUUUGGCCUUCAGAAAUGACGGAAGACAUGGGCACUUCCCUCCAGGACCUGUUCAGCAGAACUUGGCCCUAAGCUCUGUUCAGCAGCUACCUCUUUGGUUUGCCCUUCAUUAAAGCUCAUGAUUCC